GACAACUUGCGGUCAACCCAUAGUGUUUCAACCGUUGGGAGCUCCUAAUCUAAGGAGUUCGUGGCCUUGCAGCAACACACGACUUAGCUCACCGAGAAAUACGAUCACCUAAAAGCGGAGUACGCACAACUCAAAGCGUCUCAUGCACAACAAAGAGCGGAACAAAGAGCGGAGUCUGAGCAACUCAAAGCGUCUCAAGCACAACAAAAAGCGGAGUAUGAAGCGGCUCAUGAACAACAAAAAGCGGCUUAUAAACAGCUUCGCGAAAUGCUAAUGAACAUCACAAAUAGUGGAACAUGUGCGCCUAAUCUUUUUUGGCCGUAUAACCACCAGCCUCCUCCAGGAUCUCCUC
This 352-nucleotide long non-coding RNA is filed under the name Populus trichocarpa (black cottonwood). RNAcentral's name for it is "long non-coding RNA (PTRI_LNC000724)". The record is from RNAcentral. Lineage: Eukaryota; Viridiplantae; Streptophyta; Magnoliopsida; Malpighiales; Salicaceae.